This 269-nucleotide ribosomal RNA is filed under the name uncultured prokaryote. RNAcentral describes it as "partial 16S ribosomal RNA". It matches the Rfam family "Bacterial small subunit ribosomal RNA", at positions 524 to 792 of the family's 1533-position model. The record is from RNAcentral.
UACGUAGGGGGCAAGCGUUGUCCGGAAUUAUUGGGCGUAAAGGGCACGGAGGCGGUCCUUUAAGUCUGAUGUGAAAUCUUGCGGCUUAACCGCAAGCUGUCAUUGGAAACUGAAGGACUUGAGUGCAGAAGAGGAGAGUGGAAUUCCACGUGUAGCGGUGAAAUGCGUAGAGAUGUGGAGGAACACCAGUGGCGAAGGCGGCUUCCUGGUCUGUAACUGACACUGAGGCGCGAAAGCGUGGGGAGCAAACAGGAUUAGAUACCCCCGUA